GAAGUUUGAUGCUGAUGUAUCACUUGAUGUUAUAGCCAUGAGAACACCUGGUUUUAGUGGAGCAGAUCUUGCAAAUCUGUUAAAUGAGGCUGCUAUAUUGGCUGGCCGACGUGGCAAGACUGCGAUUUCAUCUAAAGAGAUUGAUGAUUCAAUAGAUAGGAUUGUGGCCGGAAUGGAAGGAACGGUUAUGACAGAUGGGAAGAGCAAAAGCUUGGUUGCAUACCAUGAGGUUGGCCAUGCCAUUUGUGGGUGAGUGAGAUAAGAGCUUCUUAAUUUUCUUUUGGUGUUUCUAUUUCUAAAUCUUUUUCUAUGUUGAAGCAUUGGAUUUCCAAAGCCUUGUUCCUUCUAAGAUUAAAUUUCAUUUUCUUUGGUACUAUAGUCUGUUUUAUAACUAAUGGACCUUAUCAUGUAAGAUUCUCAUCAGAGGUAUGUGGGGCCUAGUGCAACUGUACACAAUAUAAUAAUGCAGAGAAAUUGUUUUAAUAGUCUAUUGAAAAUUUUCAUUUGUAAAUAAAGAAACAUAGAUCAUGUUUUGUCACAAAAAUGGGAAAACAUUCUAAAAUCACACAAAGUACUAUGAUCUUUUGAACUUGUGUAACUUUUACAUUGUCACAUGAUUUGGAUGCCAGAGUGUGUAGUUUGACUUCUGUGUAAAACUCUCCUGUUCAUAGUUGGGUUGUUAUCAUGCUUAGGACUAAUAUUACUGAAAGCAUUAUUAUGUUAUUGGGUUAAAAGGCAUGACCAUUUGAUUGUGAACAUUUAAGUUUCGGGCCCUAUGAUGUUUUUGGUGGGACAAUAAUGAAAUCCUGCGGUGCUCCUAGACCAUUAAUUGCCUAUCUGAGAUAUUCAGGAAACUGAAAUUGGUGUCGUGAUUAUGGUUGGUGCUAGUUAUAUUCCCAAAUUUCCAAUGAUUUAAUUGUUGUCAAGUUUGUUGGUAAUAAUAUUUUUUUAUUAUAUAUGAACAUUGCCCAUGUUUUUCUGCUUGCUAGUGCUUUUCUGAUCCUCACUGUUUGUCCAUCAUCUACCCUCCAGUGACUUUUUUCUGCUCUCAUUAUGCAUGCUUGUUAAUAUUAUCUGUUAAUAAUAUGUGCUCUAGUGUAGUAUGAAUAUUUGAGAAACUUAUAGAUUGCGAUGUCUUCUUCAUGUCACAGAACUUUGACACCAGGUCAUGAUCCUGUUCAAAAGGUCACCCUGAUUCCACGUGGCCAGGCCCGUGGUCUUACCUGGUUCAUUCCUUCAGAUGACCCCACCUUAAUCUCCAAGCAACAACUCUUUGCAAGAAUUGUUGGUGGACUCGGUGGCAGGGCUGCAGAGGAAGUC
Molecule: long non-coding RNA, 1320 nt
Filed under: Theobroma cacao (cacao)
Lineage: Eukaryota; Viridiplantae; Streptophyta; Magnoliopsida; Malvales; Malvaceae
Description: long non-coding RNA (TCAC_LNC001003)
Source: RNAcentral